CGGACGGGUGAGUAAUGUAUAGUUAAUCUGCCCUUUAGAGGGGGAUAACAGUUGGAAACGACUGCUAAUACCCCAUACUCCUUUUACAUUAAUUGUAAUUGGGAAAUGUUCUUUCGCUAAAGGAUGAGACUAUAUGGUAUCAGGUAGUUGGUGGGGUAAGAGCCUACCAAGCCAAUGACGCCUAGCUGGUCUGAGAGGAUGAUCAGCCACACUGGAUCUGAGACACGGUCCAG
RNAcentral lists this ribosomal RNA (233 nucleotides) under uncultured bacterium. RNAcentral's name for it is "partial 16S ribosomal RNA". It matches the Rfam family "Bacterial small subunit ribosomal RNA", at positions 99 to 334 of the family's 1533-position model. The record is from RNAcentral.